AGAUUGAACGCUGGCGGCAUGCCUUACACAUGCAAGUCGAACGGUAACGCGGGGCAACCUGGCGACGAGUGGCGAACGGGUGAGUAAUGCAUCGGAACGUGCCCAGUAGUGGGGGAUAGCCCGGCGAAAGCCGGAUUAAUACCGCAUACGACCUACGGGUGAAAGCGGGGGACUCGCAAGAGCCUCGCGCUAUUGGAGCGGCCGAUGUCAGAUUAGCUAGUUGGUGGGUAAAAGCCUACCAAGGCGACGAUCUGUAGCUGGUCUGAGAGGACGACCAGCCACACUGGGACUGAGACACGGCCCAGACUCCUACGGGAGGCAGCAGGUGGGAAUUUGGACAAUGGGCGCAAGCCUGAUCCAGCCAUGCGCGUGCGGGAAGAAGGCCUCGGUUGUAACCGUCUUUGUCAGGAAGAAACGCUCGUGGCUAAGUACCCUAGGGUAAUGACGGUACCUACGAAG
Molecule: ribosomal RNA, 459 nt
Filed under: uncultured soil bacterium
Lineage: Bacteria
Description: bacterial SSU rRNA
Rfam family: Bacterial small subunit ribosomal RNA
Source: RNAcentral